CAGAGAGUAGUUUAUUUGAAAACACCAGCUUUGGGAGUUGGAGAAGAGGGUUCAAGGCCUUUCUCUCUGA
This 70-nucleotide transfer RNA is filed under the name Tragopan temminckii. RNAcentral describes it as "tRNA-Pro". It matches the Rfam family "tRNA". Rfam says of the family: Transfer RNA (tRNA) molecules are approximately 80 nucleotides in length. Their secondary structure includes four short double-helical elements and three loops (D, anti-codon, and T loops). The record is from RNAcentral. Lineage: Eukaryota; Metazoa; Chordata; Aves; Galliformes; Phasianidae.